Molecule: long non-coding RNA, 1318 nt
Filed under: Pongo abelii (Sumatran orangutan)
Lineage: Eukaryota; Metazoa; Chordata; Mammalia; Primates; Hominidae
Description: lncRNA (ENSPPYG00000035376.1)
Source: RNAcentral
GACUGCUGGGCAUGCAUGAAGUUAAGGGCAAGAAACAGUAUGCCAUGUGUUCUGUACCAUCAUGUGUCUCUUCUUGCUUCUGGGCCCUUCUACUGGUGAACUUUAAUCAAGAUCUGCGCCAUGCCGUGUCACUGUCAAGCCAUUAAGUUUUGUCUGGGUUGCUGUCAGCCCCAGUUGGCUUCGUGGUCAACAAGGACCUCAAGAACUGCCUGUGGACCGAGGCCCCCUACCAGUGCAUGAGACACACACCUACCCUCCCCAGCUUUCCAGGAACCCUACUGGCUGCCAGACUGAUGGGCGGGCUGGUAUGUGUGGACAUGUGUUCACUCUCUUUAUGCUGUGGUUCCAGGUGUGGCUUUGUACAUGCAGAAGAAUGCUAUAUGCUGCACAUUUUGCUUUUAAAGUCUUACCACUUUCCCCAUUUUAGUCUAAUGGGAAGAUAGAGCUGUGCAAGUCUGCUUUUUUGUUUUUUGUUAUUUUUUUUUUGCUCUUUAUUAUGGACAUUUUCAGACAUGCACAGAAGUGGAGAGGAUGGUCCUUGGACCCCAUGUGUCCAUCACCUAGCUGCAUCACUUAUCAGUUAUGGUCAACCUGGUUUCAUCUGUAUCUCCCUCUUUUCACCUGUAUUGUUUCUUGAAAAUCCAAGAUACUAUGCCAAUGCAACUGUGACUACUUCGGGAGAUUGGUAGUCUCUUUUGAUGGUGAUAGUGAUGGGGUGCACUAUCAUAAUCACAUCAGGUCUGCUUUUUGCUUUUAAUGUUAACUAAUGAAGUUCCAGAGAUGGGCCUUAGAAAUGUGUUUUAAGAAUUAACAAGGAGUCUCAAAAAGAAAUGAGAGGGAUGCUUCCUUUUCCUUGCAUCCACAAAACAAGAGAGAGACUGUUCUGUUGUAAAACUCUUUCAAAAAUUCUGAUAUGAUAAGGUACUUGAGACCCUUCACCAGAAUGUCAGUCUUUUUUUUUCUGUGUAACAUGGAAACUUGUGUGACCAUUAGCAUUGUUACCAGCUUGUACUGGUCUCAUAACUCUGGUUUUGGAAGAAUAAUUUGGAAAUUGUUGCUGUGUUCUGUGAAAAUAACCUCCCCAAAAUAAUUAGUAACUGGUUGUUGUACUUGGUAAUUUGACACCCUGUUAAUAACGCAAUUAUUUCUGUGUUCUUAAACGUAUAAAUAGUUGUAAGUUUGCAUGCACGAUGGAAAAAUAAAAACCUGUAUCUCUGUUAUAUUUCUGAUUUUCAAAAAAGAUUUAGAAGGUUUUAAACAGAGGCUGGGCAGUUGAGAGAAUAUAUACAUUGCCCUAGAUAAGUGAUUCCCAAGCCGC